GCUCCCAUGGUGUAAUGGUUAGCACUUUGGACUUUGAAUCCAGCGAUACGAGUUCAAAUCUCGGUGGGACCU
This 72-nucleotide transfer RNA is filed under the name Nematostella vectensis (starlet sea anemone). It matches the Rfam family "tRNA". Rfam says of the family: Transfer RNA (tRNA) molecules are approximately 80 nucleotides in length. Their secondary structure includes four short double-helical elements and three loops (D, anti-codon, and T loops). Further hydrogen bonds mediate the characteristic L-shaped molecular structure. tRNAs have two regions of fundamental functional importance: the anti-codon, which is responsible for specific mRNA codon recognition, and the 3' end, to which the tRNAs corresponding amino acid is attached (by aminoacyl-tRNA synthetases). tRNAs cope with the degeneracy of the genetic code in two manners: having more than one tRNA (with a specific anti-codon) for a particular amino acid; and 'wobble' base-pairing, i.e. permitting non-standard base-pairing at the 3rd anti-codon position. The record is from Rfam by way of RNAcentral. Lineage: Eukaryota; Metazoa; Cnidaria; Anthozoa; Actiniaria; Edwardsiidae.